Long non-coding RNA from Cyprinus carpio (common carp), 1511 nucleotides. The record is from Ensembl. Lineage: Eukaryota; Metazoa; Chordata; Actinopteri; Cypriniformes; Cyprinidae.
GGGAAAGGCAACGGUGUCUAGAGCUGUUCGUACAGUAUGCAUGGCACUGAAACAGUUUCUACACACUUUUGUACAGUUCCCUGGCCAUAAACCUGUGCGCUUUAUUAAAGAAUUCCACAGGGUGGCAGGUUUGCUCUCAGAAAUUCUGUCAUCUACUUCAAUUAAAUGAUAUUUCUUAAUAGGUUUAUUUUGACUGCACACACACACAUAUAAAGGCUACACAGACUUCUUAAACUUGUAAUUGAUCAUAAUUUCAGGGUUCCCAAACGUGAUUGGGUGCAUUGAUGGCACCCACAUUCCUAUUAAAGCUCCAUCUAUCAAUGAGGGAGACUAUGUUAAUAGGAAGUCUGUGCAUAGCAUCAAUGUGCAGGUAAUAGCUAUAUUUUGGCUCCUUAAUAUUGGUGUUACAAAUAAUAAACUUAUUGUUCUCCACAGGUAAUAUGUGAUGCAACCCACCUCAUCACUAAUUUUGAGGCAAAAUGGCCUGGGUCUGUACAUGAUGCCAGAAUAUUUUGAGAGUCAUCUCUGUGCAACAAAUUUCAACAGGUUACGUUUUGUUAGACAAAUGCUUGUAGUCUUUAUUACAUUUACAAAACACUUCAAACAUUACAGGACACUUCUAUGGUUACUUGCUGGGGGACAGACCUGUCUCACAGCAGAACACGGGCCAAGGUGGAGAUGACAAUAGGCAUUCUGAAGGCGAGGUUUCAGUGUCUGCGUGGGCUCAGGUUCACUCCAAAUAGGGCAUGUGACAUCACAGUUGCUUGUGUGGUACUUCACAACAUUGCCACAAUGAGAGGAGAAAGGCAUCCACCCUGUCCUGAUGAAGAUGACCUAGAACAACACCCAUUGAAUCUAGCAUUUACAUUUACAUUUAAUCAUUUAGCAGACGCUUUGUAUCCAAAGGGACUUACAAAUGAGAACAAUAGACGCAAUCAGAUCAACAAGAGAACAACAACGGUAUACAAGUGCCAUGACAAGUCUCGGUUAGUCUAGUACAGAACACGUAGCCAGGGUUUUUUUUUUUUUUUUUUUUUAAAGAAUAUGAUAGACAAGAAAAGAAAAGGUAAGUACUAGUAUUAGUUGGUUAAGUGCUGGCAAAAACCACAGAGAUGGCAGAAUGCUUAGAGACAUUAUUUGUCAAAAUCACUUUACGUUUACUAUAUCGUUGGAAAGGUCUAAGACUCCUAAAUAGAUAUUUUACAAAUGUUUUUUUGUUAAAAAUUAUGUAGGAAAAGUAAUAGAUUAAUUUAUGACAAGAGUGCACCCUCAAAAAUCUACAUCAUAACAGGAGUUCUGACCUUGUCAAAAAAAAAGUCUUCUUUGUUGCCUUUUUCUGUCACACUUUAGAAAUAAUCUGAAAUUAUAUAUCAACUGAAAACUUAAUCUCAAAAUUCAUCCUUUAAAACCCAUUUUUAAAUCAGACAUUGCAUUACCAUCAAUAUCAUUUUAUAAAUACCAAUAAUGGUACAUCAAUAUCAUUUUAUAAAAUGUUUUUGUUCAUGAAUUAA